ACUGCUAUUGGGAUUCGACUAAGCCAUGCGAGUCUAUGGACUUCGGUCCAUGGCGGACGGCUCAGUAACACGUGGUUAACCUACCCUUAGGUGGGGGAUAACCUUGGGAAACUGAGGAUAAUACCCCAUAGGAAAAGAGGUUUGGAAUAAUCCUUUUCUGAAAGGACAUCCGCCUAAGGAUGGGACUGCGUCUGAUUAGGUAGUUGGUGGGGUAAUGGCCCACCAAGCCUACGAUCAGUACGGGCCUUGAGAGAGGGAGCCCGGAGAUGGGGACUGAGACACGGCCCCAGGCCCUACGGGGCGCAGCAGGCGCGAAACCUCCACAAUGCACGAAAGUGCGAUGGGGGAAUCCCAAGUGCCUAUGUAAAACAUAGGCUUUUCCCAAGUUUAAACAACUUGGGGAAU
Molecule: ribosomal RNA, 405 nt
Filed under: uncultured prokaryote
Description: bacterial SSU rRNA
Rfam family: Archaeal small subunit ribosomal RNA
Source: RNAcentral